Molecule: unclassified non-coding RNA, 903 nt
Filed under: Leishmania donovani
Lineage: Eukaryota; Euglenozoa; Kinetoplastea; Trypanosomatida; Trypanosomatidae
Description: gene:unknown
Source: RNAcentral
CAGCAUCGCCACCCACGGUGGUUUUACCAGUGCUGUGCUUCGCGGCGCUCGGCAGUGCUGGUAGAGAAAGAGAGCGCCGACCCUAGCCCCUCAUCUGGGUAAGGAACCCUCUGCCGUAGCCACGUCGACUCUCUUCAUACACUUACAGCGAGAGUGCCACAAACCGCGCAGCUUCUAGACUUUGUUUGCGCAGAUGUCUCCAUUCCUCUUUUCUUCUUUUUCUUUCUGGUGGACCUCCUCGCGAGGGUAGACGGCAGUCGGCAUACAAGCAUGCAGAGGGUGUUGGUGCUGCUAGGAACGACGAGUGAUGACGCAUUUCUCUUUUCCUCCUCUCCUCUCUCGCAGCGGGCAAGCGCGAACGCCUCAGCCGACCGCCGACUUGACGGAAACUGUUCGCCUUUGGGUCAGACAUACAUCCACUUCCCUUCUUGUGCAGCAGGUUUUUUUUUUCAUCACACUGCCGCCGUGAGGCUCGAUGAUGCCUUUCCUCGCCGCUCUGUCCUUUCCUUUGCAGAAAUGUUUCCCCUUCUUGUAUCGGGUGUGGCCGCUAGUUCUCCUGUACGGCUUUUCACCACCACGUACGGGCAUACACAUGCGUGUGGGGCGUGCCAGCUCUCUUCCCCUCUUUUAGUGUUGAGGAGGAUGACAGCUAGGUUUACUGCCUUGUCUGUGCGUUCGAAUCCGUCCCACCGCCAUUAGCCCCUCCCUCCCCCCCCCCAUCAUGCCAGCCACCGGGCGAGGGACAUGAUGGAUAAGGGAAUUUCUGGACCCUGCACUUUCGUAGAAUUCAUGCAAAGGAUACGCCAAAAUUCCGAAAGGGUGGAACGCAGAAGCCAGAAAGCCUGGAUGGAACCCCUCGACUCGAUUACUUGUCCUCCUCUCCCCUCUUGGAUCACACACUAG